GACGAACGCUGGCGGCGUGCUUAACACAUGCAAGUCGAACGGAAAGGCCCUGCUUUUGUGGGGUGCUCGAGUGGCGAACGGGUGAGUAACACGUGAGUAACCUGCCCUUGACUUUGGGAUAACUUCAGGAAACUGGGGCUAAUACCGGAUAGGGGCUCCUGCUGCAUGGUGGGGGUUGGAAAGUUUCGGCGGUUGGGGAUGGACUCGCGGCUUAUCAGCUUGUUGGUGGGGUAGUGGCUUACCAAGGCUUUGACGGGUAGCCGGCCUGAGAGGGUGACCGGCCACAUUGGGACGGAGAGACGGCCCAGACUGCUACGGGAGGCAGCAGUGGGGAAUGGUGCACAAUGGGCGGAAGCCUGAUGCAGCAACGCCGCGUGCGGGAUGACGGCCUUCGGGUUGUAAACCGCUUUCGCCUGGGACGAAGCGUGAGUGACGGUAAUGGGUAAAGAAGCACCGGCUAACUACGUG
Molecule: ribosomal RNA, 468 nt
Filed under: uncultured bacterium
Lineage: Bacteria
Description: partial 16S ribosomal RNA
Rfam family: Bacterial small subunit ribosomal RNA
Source: RNAcentral